Molecule: long non-coding RNA, 1454 nt
Organism: Oreochromis aureus
Lineage: Eukaryota; Metazoa; Chordata; Actinopteri; Cichliformes; Cichlidae
Exons: 2
Source: RefSeq, a predicted model, not a curated record
UGAACUGAACAUGAGAGGAGAGUCCUGGGUUGGUCUGAGAGCCAAAAACACAUCAUCAGGAUAUGAAUGGGAAUGGGUGGACGGAUCACUGCUGACAGAAACGUUCUGGGCAGAAGGAGAGAAGAGUACGAAUUUCUUUUCCUAUGGAGUCUGCUGUGACAAUAAUGCGAACUUGAAACAGGCAGUUGAACAUUAUGAAGGUUAUAACUCAAAUAAAUGGAUAUGUGAGAAAUGAGUUUGGUGCUUUGAUGUAAAUGUUUGAAUAAUCCAACCAAAGACACCUCACUAUGAAAUGUCCUGCAUGAGCCUCAGACUCAGCUCACAGUUGUUACUUGUUCAUUCUGCAUCAUAUAUUGAUUACAUAUAUUGUCCCUCUGUGCUCUGUGCUGUACAGUAAGGUUGGAAGUCAUCCACACAAAAACUUGAAGUACUUCAUUACUCUGUAGUUCCAGCAAAUUGUUCUAAUACAAGUCAAAGUGCAGCUUGUCUUUACUUUGGUUUACUUGGUUUAUUCAUCAGUCUGUUGGUCCUAAAACUUCAGUAAAUGUCUUCUUGAGUUUCUCUCAAACAGCUGAAAGUAGCUGCUUCUUACUUUUAGCUACAAAUCAGGAACCAAGAGACUGAAACCAGCACAAAUUCAGUUUGUCAAACUUACAACGUGUGAAUAAGUGAAGAUGAGUCAGUUUAAAACAACUUUCCUUCUUCUUCUUCACUUACAUCCAAACACAACUUUACCUUCCUGCUUAGUUUGCAGCGAGCUGCCUGCACAGCGUUAACACACUGAAGGUCAAAGUUCAUGUCAGCAUGACAGAAAGAAAAAGUGCAGAAACAACAACCCUCACAGUGGACACGGUUACAGUCUGAUGACUCUGAACAUGACUCGGGUCUUUUUGUAAUGUGGGCCUUAGUCGUCUUUCAUGAAUCAGACAGUUUCAGAGCCAGUUUCCAUGUGACACACUUCCUGCUUUGGACCCUUUACCUGCAGCCUGUAUGUGUCCACAUGUGAUUGGUGCAAAGCUGACCUUUAACUAAUGACCACAGACCCUGGUUGUGUUUCACUUCAGAUGAUUUUCAGCAUUUCAUUGAAUUCUAACUGCAUCAAAGACAUUUCAGCGUUUCAAUUCAUCAAACUGACUUCAGAUCUUGUUGCAUGCUGUUAGUUUCUCUGCUGGUAAACUCGAAAUAACUGAAGAGUUCACACUGACGCCAUAUUUCCUGCAUCAGAAACAUUCCUCUUUGCUCAUUACUAACAAUAGAUAUUGUGUGAUGACAGCAGCUUCUGAGAAAGCUGUUUUUAUGUUGCUGCUGCUGAGUUAAAGCUCAGUGUCUGUGCUUUAUGACAAACAUUUCAAAUACAGCACAUUUGUGGCUUUGCUUGUAUUGCUGUACAAGUAUCUAUGUAUUAAUGCAUGUAAUGGAAAAGUUUUCCAAAUUAAAUGUAGAAAAGUAUUUAA